Molecule: long non-coding RNA, 1176 nt
Filed under: Homo sapiens (human)
Lineage: Eukaryota; Metazoa; Chordata; Mammalia; Primates; Hominidae
Description: HSALNT0162425
Source: RNAcentral
GGGGUACUGGCAGCACAGAUGACUUGUAGUUAGAGACCUGCCCACACCUUCCACCUGACCUGCACCUGAGGCUAAGAUGCCAAGUAGUUGGGGAAAUAUGUCAGUGCACUGUUUAGGGCAGAUGUUGGUCCAAGGAGAGGGGUCUGGGUACACCCUCCCAGCACCAGAACGAGGCCCAGGACUGGGGGAGGAUUCUGAGCACAGCCUGUCCAGGGACCAUUCUCCUAGCUCCUAGCUGCCCAACCAACCCCUCAUGGACCCAUGCCAAACUGGAUGAAGAGAGGAGCCUGUAAUGAAUGGAAAAGAACAGUGAUGAACAGAACUGAGUGUUAGAGAUGCUGAAAGAGAUCAAGUUACCUGGUCACUCUGCCUCCUUGCCUAAUAAACAGGGCUUGAGGCUGGUGGCUUUGGCCCCUUAAAGCCCACUCCACUUGCCAUGCUUCAUAUGCCUAGAGCGCUAAACCAAUGUUUGGUUAGUUCGGAGCUCAGUCCCUCUCAUACUGGAUCUCUUCCAGCUCACACUCACUCUCAUCUUCCUGGCCAGGACUCAGCAAUACAUUUAGCCAGUUCUUAACUCAACCUAUUAGUCUUGAAUCUACUGGAGUCCUCGUGCCUCUGCCUGGAGGAAAGUGUGCAGGAGGAAGGAACAUAUUAUUUUCCAGCUCAAAGACGCUCUGGGCAGAGAAGUGACUGGGCCUUCAUAAGGUACUCAAUGGAGGCCAACCUGCAAUCAGGAGGGUGAUGCCUGAUCCUAACCAAGCCUGGAGGGAAAGCAGCUCCCAUUCCAGAAUGCCUCCCGAGGGUAGCAGCAUUUUCACAUCUGCACUUUUCUCAUGAAAGGGCGAGGAAGAAGAAACAGAACUCUCUGCGGAAACACCCACCAUGCCCCAUCCAGUGUUGUGUGGCUGCCUUGCACCAUUCUCUCCUUUGAGAGAAUUAAAAUUCUCUUUGAAAUUAAAAAUGAUGUUUACUGGAAACUUCUGCUGUUCAGAAGCAAAACAUGUCCAUUGUUGAAAAACCAAAAACCUCCACUGAUGUUGCCAUCCAGAAACAAUCACCGCAGACACUUUGGUGUAUGUAUUUUUAGAACUUCCUCUCUCUCUCUCUUUCAUCCUCUCUAACCAAACUUGGAUAAUAUUAUGUGCACAUAUAUUGAAUUUCUUUUCAAUACAUUAA